Molecule: ribosomal RNA, 447 nt
Filed under: uncultured bacterium
Lineage: Bacteria
Description: bacterial SSU rRNA
Rfam family: Bacterial small subunit ribosomal RNA
Source: RNAcentral
UCCAGACUCCUACGGGAGGCAGCAGUGGGGGAUAUUGCACAAUGGGGGAAACCCUGAUGCAGCGACGCCGCGUGGGUGAAGAAGCGCCUCGGCGCGUAAAGCCCUGUCAGCAGGGAAGAAAAUGACGGUACCUGAAGAAGAAGCCCCGGCUAACUACGUGCCAGCAGCCGCGGUAAUACGUAGGGGGCAAGCGUUAUCCGGAUUUACUGGGUGUAAAGGGAGCGUAGACGGCAGAGCAAGUCUGAAGUGAAAGCCCGCGGCCCAACUGCGGGACUGCUCUUGGAACUGCGUGGCUGGAGUGCAGGAGGGGCAGGCGGAAUUCCUGGUGUAGCGGUGAAAUGCGUAGAUAUCAGGAGGAACACCGGUGGCGAAGGCGGCCUGCUGGACUGCAACUGACGUUGAGGCCCGAAAGCGUGGGGAGCAAACAGGAUUAGAUACCCGCGUACU